This 215-nucleotide unclassified non-coding RNA is filed under the name uncultured fungus. RNAcentral's name for it is "sequence contains ITS1". Lineage: Eukaryota; Fungi. The record is from RNAcentral.
GUAUUAAUUGCGUGUGAUCGCAAAGAAAGACAUUCUACACUGUAUCGAGUUUGUGUGAAAACGCGAGCCCCCGGAAGGGGACCCACGCGGUGGUGCACAUAGGGGUGAGAUGGAUGUUUGAGAACGCUCGAGCGUGCACGACCAAAAAAAGCCAGCGACAGCCCUCGCGCCUCGGUUGUACGAUAAUGAUCCUUCCGCAGGUUCACCUACGGAAA